RNAcentral lists this long non-coding RNA (1889 nucleotides) under Eucalyptus grandis. RNAcentral's name for it is "long non-coding RNA (EGRA_LNC003405)". The record is from RNAcentral. Lineage: Eukaryota; Viridiplantae; Streptophyta; Magnoliopsida; Myrtales; Myrtaceae.
GAACACUCUCCCCCGCCUCUCUGCCCCUUCUUAUCUCAUUCUUCUUCUUCGGUUUGUCUCUGUCGCAUCCUCAUCCUUUCCCCCGUCUUCUUCGCAUUCCCAGAGAAACCUUUGACUUCCCUUCUCUCUCUGUACGGACACACCUCUCCCCCCUGUUUCUUCUUCGCAUCCUUCCGUUUGAGGUCCGAAGAGAAACCCCGAAGGGUGUCCAUGGAAGCCCUUAACGACGCCAUCACUCUCGUAACUCCGUUCCAUUUGAGGUCCGAAGAGAAACCCCGAAGCGUGUCCACGGAAGCCCUCAACGACGCCAUCACUCUCGUGACUCCCUCCCCCUCCCUCCCUCUCUCUCUCUCUCUCUCUCUCUCUCUCCCUCUAUCUGUUGCUGGUAGAGCGGAAGCUAGUAUUCGCUUUAUCACACUCGCUUGAUUAGAAAACGAAAAAGUAUCGAACUUUUUCGAUGGCAAAGGAGCGUUUCAUUGUGCAUGUUCUGAUCUUUGUUUGCCUUGAAUCUGCAGUUAUAUUCUUCUGUAAAAUGACGAGCGAGAUGCAGCCAAGUAUAGCACAGGGUCCCGGAAGUGAGGGAUCGUUCUCUUCGCACCCGUCAGUUGAUGGCUCCGAUUUUGCAACCCCGUGAGUUACAUGCAUUUAUGUUAACAUCAUGAACUUUCCUCGUCCUGCAACCCGAGAAUCAUUUGUGGACUUCUCGGCAGUUAACUAUUCGUUUCCCUUUUUUUUUCUCAUUUUCUGUACUUUCCUUUACAGCCAAAAUGAUUGUUGAUGUAACGUUUACUAUGACGUAAAAAUUGAUGAUUCAACAAGUAUGUUUUGAGGAAAGAUCGAAAACAGACAACUAAGAAGAUUAUAAAACCAACUACGGAAUUUAAAGUGUAAUAGAACAAUCUAACGUCCGGGCAAGUCUAGUCAUAAUCUCUCAAAUCUGACUAUCCUAGAUAUAGCAUAAUUCCAAUAUAACAUGCAUAGUAUAGAAAAUCAAGAAUAUAACACCUAAACUCAAAAACAAAAAGGUGACAAUUAUUUUUGAUCUUAAAAUAACCCAUGAACUUGAAUAAUCCCCAUAUCAUCCUAAAACCAUAAACAAAUGCUCGGUAUUGAAAUAAAUCCAAAAAUGAAAAUACCCACAAGUAACAAUUAUUUUGAAAUAAGCCCUACAUGUAAACCAAGAAAUCUCAAAACGAGCAUCAAAUGACCUUGAUAUGACCCGAAAACCAUUAAAUUAUCUCGAAGAAUUGCUAGUAACAUCAAAAGAAAGAAAGACUAGUAAUAUAACACCAAAACCAAAAAUAAAUAAUACCGUAAUGUAAUCAUGAAAUAACUCCCAUAACCAAAAACAAAUCAUAAGUAACUCAAAAUGAGUCUAAAAUAACCCCGAUUUACCCCUUCAACCAUUAAUAAAUGCUCACCAUUUAAAUGAGAAAAUGCAAAAAAAUCCGUGCCACAAGUACGUUUCGAGUUUUGGGCGUUGGGGGUUUUGGGAUUGGGGUUAACGGUUGGGGAUUGGGAUUGGGAUUGGGUUUGGGUUAGGGGUAUGGUUUUGUGUUUACAUGGUUUGCGGGUUGGAGGUGGGGCUUGGGGAUUUGUGGAUUAGGUUUUAGGGUUUUAGGGUUUAAGGUUUAAUAUGGUGCCUGUUUAGGCCGCCUUUGAGAUGAAUUUGCGUUCUAAUCGAGGCUUAGGUUGUUGACUUGCUAAGAUUUAUCUCAUCCCAUCGUGGUUAACCUUUUUCAGGGCCGUAGUGUGGAGAUUUGCUAAGUGCGGAUUUGGUGGGCGCGAGAUGCGACACAUUUUGGCUGGCUCUGUUGCUAGUGAAGUUUAGGUUCACCUUAGUUCCUGAAGGUUUUUGAAAGAGUCGAUAGGAAGUGGCCAUAGGAAGG